RNAcentral lists this ribosomal RNA (497 nucleotides) under uncultured bacterium. RNAcentral's name for it is "partial 16S ribosomal RNA". It matches the Rfam family "Bacterial small subunit ribosomal RNA", at positions 28 to 507 of the family's 1533-position model. The record is from RNAcentral.
GAUGAACGCUGGCGGCGUGCCUAAUACAUGCAAGUCGAGCGAACGGACGCGAAGCUUGCUUCUCUGUUGUUAGCGGCGGACGGGUGAGUAACACGUGGAUAACCUACCUAUAAGACUGGGAUAACUUCGGGAAACCGGAGCUAAUACCGGAUGAUAUUUUGAACCGCAUGGUUCAAAAGUGAAAGACGGUCUUGCUGUCACUUAUAGAUGGAUCCGCGCUGCAUUAGCUAGUUGGUAAGGUAACGGCUUACCAAGGCAACGAUGCAUAGCCGACCUGAGAGGGUGAUCGGCCACACUGGAACGGAGACACGGUCCAGACUCCUACGGGAGGCAGCAGUAGGGAAUCUUCCGCAAUGGGCGAAAGCCUGACGGAGCAACGCCGCGUGAGUGAUGAAGGUCUUCGGAUCGUAAAACUCUGUUAUUAGGGAAGAACAGAUGUGUAAGGAACUGUGCACAUCUUGACGGUACCUAAUCAGAAAGCCACGGCUAACUACGUG